UGACAUUGAUGAGAUCUUUACUCCUAAACUGAUCUAUUGAUGAGAAAUUACGGAUCUGAUUCCUGAGUU
Small nucleolar RNA from Limanda limanda (common dab), 69 nucleotides. RefSeq annotates it as small nucleolar RNA SNORD50. The record is from RefSeq and is a predicted model, not a curated record. The transcript has a single exon. Lineage: Eukaryota; Metazoa; Chordata; Actinopteri; Pleuronectiformes; Pleuronectidae.